This 508-nucleotide ribosomal RNA is filed under the name uncultured bacterium. Its description in RNAcentral is "partial 16S ribosomal RNA". It matches the Rfam family "Bacterial small subunit ribosomal RNA", at positions 28 to 523 of the family's 1533-position model. The record is from RNAcentral.
GAUGAACGCUAGCUACAGGCUUAACACAUGCAAGUCGAGGGGAAACGACAUCGAAAGCUUGCUUUUGAUGGGCGUCGACCGGCGCACGGGUGAGUAACGCGUAUCCAACCUGCCCACCACUUGGGGAUAACCUUGCGAAAGUAAGACUAAUACCCAAUGAUAUCUCUAGAAGACAUCUGAAAGAGAUUAAAGAUUUAUCGGUGAUGGAUGGGGAUGCGUCUGAUUAGCUUGUUGGCGGGGUAACGGCCCACCAAGGCUACGAUCAGUAGGGGUUCUGAGAGGAAGGUCCCCCACAUUGGAACUGAGACACGGUCCAAACUCCUACGGGUGGCAGCAGUGAGGAAUAUUGGUCAAUGGACGAGAGUCUGAACCAGCCAAGUAGCGUGCAGGAAGACGGCCCUAUGGGUUGUAAACUGCUUUUAUAAGGGAAUAAAGUGAGUCUCGUGAGACUUUUUGCAUGUACCUUAUGAAUAAGGACCGGCUAAUUCCGUGCCAGCCGCCGCGGUAA